ACGCUCGACACCUACGAGAGGCAGCAGUGGGGAAUAUUGCACAAUGGGGGAAACCCUGAUGCAGCGACGCCGCGUGAGCGAAGAAGUAUUUCGGUAUGUAAAGCUCUAUCAGCAGGGAAGAAAAUGACGGUACCUGACUAAGAAGCCCCGGCUAACUACGUGCCANNCGCGAUAUGNGCGGCGUGCGAGACG
This 192-nucleotide ribosomal RNA is filed under the name uncultured bacterium. RNAcentral describes it as "partial 16S ribosomal RNA". It matches the Rfam family "Bacterial small subunit ribosomal RNA", at positions 328 to 540 of the family's 1533-position model. The record is from RNAcentral.